Molecule: small nuclear RNA, 162 nt
Filed under: Erinaceus europaeus (western European hedgehog)
Lineage: Eukaryota; Metazoa; Chordata; Mammalia; Eulipotyphla; Erinaceidae
Description: U1 spliceosomal RNA (ENSEEUG00000023691.1)
Source: RNAcentral
CUACUUCACCUGGCAGAUAAAGUACCAACAGCACAUAGGUGGUUUUCCCCUGGGAGGUUAACUGUAGCCCUAGUAUGCGCUGACCCCUUUGACUUUCCCCAUAGUGGGAAACUUGACUGAGUACUACAUAGUAGUGGGAAACUGAGUUCCUGCACCUACCCU